Molecule: small RNA, 123 nt
Filed under: Arabidopsis thaliana (thale cress)
Lineage: Eukaryota; Viridiplantae; Streptophyta; Magnoliopsida; Brassicales; Brassicaceae
Description: ATSL263890
Source: RNAcentral
UUCUUAUGUUUUUCUCACCAUCUCUUUGUGAACCCUAAACAUUCAGGUCACCAUGGAGACGGCUGCAGCAAUUCAUUCAGGAGUUUGUAAAGACAACACUGAUCCUAUGAAGGUAUAACAUGU